Molecule: ribosomal RNA, 253 nt
Filed under: uncultured bacterium
Lineage: Bacteria
Description: partial 16S ribosomal RNA
Rfam family: Bacterial small subunit ribosomal RNA
Source: RNAcentral
UACGGAGGGAGCUAGCGUUAUUCGGAAUUACUGGGCGUAAAGCGCACGUAGGCGGCUUUGUAAGUUAGAGGUGAAAGCCUGGAGCUCAACUCCAGAAUUGCCUUUAAGACUGCAUCGCUUGAAUCCAGGAGAGGUGAGUGGAAUUCCGAGUGUAGAGGUGAAAUUCGUAGAUAUUCGGAAGAACACCAGUGGCGAAGGCGGCUCACUGGACUGGUAUUGACGCUGAGACGCGAAAGCGUGGGUAGCAAACAGG